Molecule: ribosomal RNA, 253 nt
Filed under: uncultured bacterium
Lineage: Bacteria
Description: partial 16S ribosomal RNA
Rfam family: Bacterial small subunit ribosomal RNA
Source: RNAcentral
UACGAAGGGGGCUAGCGUUGCUCGGAUUGACUGGGCGUAAAGCGCACGUAGGCGGAUACUUAAGUCAGGGGUGAAAUCCCGGGGCUCAACCCCGGAACUGCCUUUGAUACUGGGUAUCUCGAGUCCGGAAGAGGUGAGUGGAAUUCCGAGUGUAGAGGUGAAAUUCGUAGAUAUUCGGAGGAACACCAGUGGCGAAGGCGGCUCACUGGUCCGGUACUGACGCUGAGGUGCGAAAGCGUGGGGAGCAAACAGG